Long non-coding RNA from Neoarius graeffei (lesser salmon catfish), 527 nucleotides. RefSeq lists it as uncharacterized. The transcript has 3 exons. The record is from RefSeq and is a predicted model, not a curated record. Lineage: Eukaryota; Metazoa; Chordata; Actinopteri; Siluriformes; Ariidae.
UGAGACAUUCAUUUCAAAUAACAAAGUCGGUGUCAUAAUCCCCAGUGCUGUGUAUCAUUACGGAAACAAAUCCACUCGACUCUCUCUACUCGAAACCUCUCCCAGGGUUACUGUUUCACCAAACACCCCGACCCCAUGUGUAUCAGAGUGGAGUGUUAGCUGGAAGCUGAUGUUGAGUGUGUGUGCUGUGUGUGUUCUCCUCUCCUCACUCCUCUCCUCCAUCUGUGUGUACUGCCUCUGCACAAACACCACUAAAGCAAAAUUCGAACCUGAUCUGGCAGGAAGUCACAAAAGGACGACUCGGAGAUGUGAUGAGGUUGGAGACGAUGAGGUUUGUUAUGCCUCGUUGGACAUCCAGAACCUCAAGAAGAAGACGAAGAGGAAGAAGAGAGUUCAGCACUCUGAUUUUAGCACGUAUUCAGAGGUGAGAACUGAGAGAUCCUGAGGAGGAGGAGUUAAUGAAUUGUGAAAUUUGUAUUAGAUCACAGUGUAUUAUUUUAAUAAACUCUUUUUACAUUUAAUUGACA